GAAGCGAAGUCGCGAGGCGGAGCGAACCUCAAAAACCGGUACCCAGUUCGGAUCGCGGGCUGCAACUCGCCCGCGUGAAGCCGGAGUUGCUAGUAAUCGCGGAUCAGAACGCCGCGGUGAAUGCGUUCCCGGGUCUUGUACACACCGCCCGUCACACCAUGGAAGUCGGGGGGCGCCCGAAGUCGGUCGAGAAAUAGGCUGCCUAAGGUGAAACCGAUGACUGGGGUGAAGUCGUAACAAGGUAAC
Molecule: ribosomal RNA, 246 nt
Filed under: uncultured bacterium
Lineage: Bacteria
Description: partial 16S ribosomal RNA
Rfam family: Bacterial small subunit ribosomal RNA
Source: RNAcentral